This 501-nucleotide ribosomal RNA is filed under the name uncultured bacterium. RNAcentral's name for it is "partial 16S ribosomal RNA". It matches the Rfam family "Bacterial small subunit ribosomal RNA", at positions 30 to 523 of the family's 1533-position model. The record is from RNAcentral.
AUUGAACGCUGGCGGCAGGCUUAACACAUGCAAGUCGAGCGGGGGAAGGUAGCUUGCUACCGGACCUAGCGGCGGACGGGUGAGUAAUGCUUAGGAAUCUGCCUAUUAGUGGGGGACAACAUCUCGAAAGGGAUGCUAAUACCGCAUACGUCCUACGGGAGAAAGCAGGGGAUCUUCGGACCUUGCGCUAAUAGAUGAGCCUAAGUCGGAUUAGCUAGUUGGUGGGGUAAAGGCCUACCAAGGCGACGAUCUGUAGCGGGUCUGAGAGGAUGAACCGCCAAACUGGGACGGAGACACGGCCCAGACUCCUACGGGAGGCAGCAGUGGGGAAUAUUGGACAAUGGGGGGAACCCUGAUCCAGCCAUGCCGCGUGUGUGAAGAAGGCCUUAUGGUUGUAAAGCACUUUAAGCGAGGAGGAGGCUACUCUAGUUAAUACCUAGGGAUAGUGGACGUUACUCGCAGAAUAAGCACCGGCUAACUCUGUGCCAGCAGCCGCCGUAA